Mauremys reevesii (Reeves's turtle) is the source of this 436-nucleotide long non-coding RNA. RefSeq lists it as uncharacterized. The record is from RefSeq and is a predicted model, not a curated record. Lineage: Eukaryota; Metazoa; Chordata; Testudines; Geoemydidae. The transcript has 3 exons.
GGGGGAACUCAUGCGGCUACCUGCUCUGAGUGGAGAGUGCCUGGAAAGUGCCUCUCCACUAUGUUCUCUCCAUGACAGAGUCACAAUGAGGCCCACGGAUUAAGACAAUUCGACUUUGACUCCAUCUUCUAAUCCAGUCUCCCUGAAACUGAACACAAAGAGAUGUAUAGCACAGGACAUUGAAUUGAAACAUUCAUUAGUGGGAGAUGAAGAGUGGUGAUUGGCUGAUUUACCUAUGAUGUCACCAGGGUCCUAGUACAAAGUAACCUGAACUACUGACCUGACCACGAGUAAACUUUAUUCCUAAUUGGUUAUUUGACAAAAUUCUUCUUAACAUAGAACUUCAUUACUGCCUAAUGUCUUCAAAUGUAACUGACACAAAUAUUGUAAAGGAGUUCUAACAUUAAGGAAAGUGGAAAGAGUAUGUUUUAUUCCA